UCCACCUGGUGAGGAACCGAGGCCUCCUGCCAACAGUCAUGUCAGUGAACCAUGAAAGUUGCUCCCCAACCCCAGUCAAAUCUUCAGAUGCCCGGAGUCCUACCAACAGCCUCUCAAAACCUCAUAAGAGAUCCUGAGAUAGAACCACCCAGGGCAAUCUAGGAUCCUUGCCAAAGUUGAGAAGCAAAGGAUAAACCAACAGAGAAGGUCAAAGUUCUGCCUGCCUUUCUAGAGGAAGAUCACAUCUCUGGCUUGAUGACCUGGGAAAUAACAGGUGGAAAUUCCUCUGCCCACCUUCAGCUCACCUGAGACAUAAAAGGCAUCUCAAGGCUGAAGUGGAUGCUUAAACUUGUUCUCAAGAAUUACUCCUGAACCUCUCCUCCAUCUGAAGACAUGGGCGUGCCAUCUCCUGCAGAAACCUCCUUCCUUUCAGCCCAGUGCAGACUCAGGAGUCAGACAGCAUGGUUUUGUAGAUAGACCAGCUU
Non-coding RNA from Odocoileus virginianus texanus, 485 nucleotides. The record is from RefSeq and is a predicted model, not a curated record. Lineage: Eukaryota; Metazoa; Chordata; Mammalia; Artiodactyla; Cervidae.